UUUUUAAAUAGUUUUCAUAUUAUAUUUUUGGACUUAUUAACAUGCUUGUUGCAUGUCAUUGUGGAAGCCCAAACUGUGUGAGUGCGAUUUUCAAUCGCAAAAUUACUGAUAAAAACCUAUUGGCUCGUAGAGGUAGUGUAGAGAUUCUCUACACUAGAGAACUGUGGAUAAACAUCAAUCAACCGGGACGAUUUUACGAUCUCACUUAUUCAAAACUAAAGACUCGGAGGAUCCAGUACUUGGAGUCUUUUAUUACUGUCAAUGAUUACAGACGAACCAGCUUAUUUAGAGGACGAAAAUCAUCCUGAUCAAGUUCCAUCACAGGAAAUGGUACGCAAGCCUCAAAAAAGUGCGUAGGUAACAUGAUGUUGAAAGAACGAGGAGAUUGGAAAAGAAAGAAGUAAAUUGAGAGCUAUACAGAUAAAUCUAAAAGUAAACAUAGAGGACAAUGAUGCAUUAGAGACUGGCAUAUCAUCUCAUACGGACAACACCGCAGGAGAGUUUUUUUAUAUUUGAACAAUUCAGCUUCGCUUCAAAGAAAGUUGGAUGCAUUGGAAAAAAAAUUUAAGCUCACCGUUUGGACUUACGGAAGAUAUUGAAAAUGCUAUAAAGUAGGGAUAUUAUACCGGAUUUGUAUAUACUUUUGUAAAUAAUACAGGCUGUAACAAAAAUACAGGUCAUA
RNAcentral lists this long non-coding RNA (682 nucleotides) under Diabrotica virgifera virgifera (western corn rootworm). RNAcentral's name for it is "uncharacterized LOC126888451". The record is from RNAcentral. Lineage: Eukaryota; Metazoa; Arthropoda; Insecta; Coleoptera; Chrysomelidae.